This 253-nucleotide ribosomal RNA is filed under the name uncultured bacterium. RNAcentral's name for it is "partial 16S ribosomal RNA". It matches the Rfam family "Bacterial small subunit ribosomal RNA", at positions 524 to 776 of the family's 1533-position model. The record is from RNAcentral.
UACAGAGGUCCCAAGCGUUGUUCGGAUUCACUGGGCGUAAAGGGUGCGUAGGUGGUCGGGUAAGUCUGAUGUGAAAGCUCUGGGCUCAACCCAGAAAUGGCAUUGGAUACUAUCCGGCUAGAGGAAUGGAGGGGGGACUGGAAUACUUGGUGUAGCAGUGAAAUGCGUAGAUAUCAGGAGGAACACCGGUGGCGAAGGCGGAUCUCUGGGCCUUACCUGACGCUCAGGCACGAAAGCUAGGGGAGCGAACAGG